RNAcentral lists this transfer RNA (79 nucleotides) under Candidatus Omnitrophota bacterium. Its description in RNAcentral is "tRNA-His". It matches the Rfam family "tRNA". From Rfam's summary of the family: Transfer RNA (tRNA) molecules are approximately 80 nucleotides in length. Their secondary structure includes four short double-helical elements and three loops (D, anti-codon, and T loops). The record is from RNAcentral. Lineage: Bacteria; Pseudomonadati; Candidatus Omnitrophota.
GUGGCUGUAGCUCAACUGGUUAGAGCGUCAGACUGUGGCUCUGAAGGUUUUGCGGGUUCGAUCCCCGUCAGCCACCCCA